Molecule: long non-coding RNA, 215 nt
Filed under: Trifolium pratense (red clover)
Lineage: Eukaryota; Viridiplantae; Streptophyta; Magnoliopsida; Fabales; Fabaceae
Description: long non-coding RNA (TPRA_LNC003783)
Source: RNAcentral
GUCUGAUUGAUCAGACAGUCUUGAUGAGAUCAGAUCUUGGCUGUCUGAUGGAAAUCAACGGCCUGUAACCAUGGUCCUGCGGUACGCGCGCGACACUGGAUCCGCGUCCAUUGAUGGUAAUUUGGUUAAUUAAUUAAAAAGAAUGGGUAUUUUGGUCCAACUGAAAAGGUGCACUUUGCUAAUUUAGACCCAACUGGGUCUAAGUUAGCAGCCCC